Long non-coding RNA from Homo sapiens (human), 3281 nucleotides. RefSeq annotates it as ANP32A intronic transcript 1. Lineage: Eukaryota; Metazoa; Chordata; Mammalia; Primates; Hominidae. The record is from RefSeq and is marked validated. The transcript has a single exon.
CAGCGUUCGCCUCUCAGCCAAGUCCAAUAGCACUCACUUAGGUGUGCAUCUGUGGCUUUCUCUCUGUCUGGUCAGUGCUCCUUUAUAUGUCCAUACCCCCUGCCAGAGGGCAGCAUUGACGGUGUACAGAGCCCAGUGUGACUCUCCUGCAGCUGGGGACAUAGAAGAGCUCUGUGACGAUGGCAGAUGUGGUUCUCCAGCCUCUUGCCUGGCUGCCAGUGGGAGUAGCCUGUCUGUUCUGGCACAGGGGGCUGUUCCAUAUGGAGGGUCAGAAACUGGCCUUCACAGCCACCCAGGCGUUCCUUCCACUUCUGCACGUCUUCCUUUCCCCAUGAAGAUUUGGGUGUACCCUGGUUGUGGUCUCUGAAGACUGGGCAGGCCUGUACUUUGUGAAGCUUUCAGCUGUCUCUGGUAGGCCUGAUGAAGCCUAUCUGCAGAGGUUGGCCUGAAGCCAUAAUGAGCAGUUCUGUUCUUUUUAGCCCUUGUCUAGUUUAUGGCUCUGUUGCAGACAUGCCUUUCUGUGUCUUGGUUAAAAGUACUGGUGUGUCUUUGCAUUUAGGUGUGGUCUGUGAGUCUGGGAAGGCUUCUAGAGGAGAGCCCUCCAGGGUUGCUCUUUGGGGUGGGAGUAGUGGGAGCGGAAAUGGAACGCUGACUGCCCUCUUAAAGCCAGAAGGGUACUUCAUUCAGGGCAGGCAGUUGGCAUGUGUAGGCACUCAGGAGUCUUCCUUCAGUUUCAGCGGCCGGUGUUCAUCAUCAGGAGUGGCAGGGUUGGAUAUGGGAGUGAGAAUGUGCCUCUGAGAUUGACCAGUGGCCAUAGACUCCAGCAAGAUGUGCAUCUUGGUCUGAGAGGCACCCACUGUACCAGAAACCAGACUUGUAUCGACCAAUGGCUUAUUAGCCCCAGGAGGCUUAUUACUGCCACAAAUGUCCCUGAUGGUGAGCAGCACUUGGCCACUACUGUCUGAUGUUAACCAGAGUUAUGGGGGUGGUUUCUGCAAAUACACAAUACUGUGGAGGGGUUAUGUGGCUUACCCAGAGGUGCCCAGAUAGCAAAUGAAGGUGUAAGAUUGGAAUCCCUGUCUUUCUGGUUGACCCUUGGCUUGGCUAAUCAUUCAUUCAUUCAUUCCACACACAUUGAUGAAUGCCGACUCUGUACUGGGUUCUGUUCUAGGAACUAGACAGACACAUCACCUAUGCUGCUCUUGUGGGGCUUCUGUUCCGCUGGGGGAGACAGUCAGUAGUAAGCCUUCAAGCAAAGGCAUGGCUGCUGGUGUGAUGAGUGCCAUGAAGACCCAUAAGGCUGCGUUAAAGGAGAUGGGUGGUCCAGGAAGGCCUCUCUGAGGAGGUGGCAUUUGAGCACUCAAGUGCCUUACACUGGACUUCUGACCCCAUGAGCUGGAACUUAGGAUAUCUGAUCUAGAAGUACCUCUAGAAGUCCUCUUCCCAAUAAACAAGCUAAGGCCCAGUGAGCUUAAGGUGUGAAUUCAUGGGAUGAUUCAUGGGAAAGAUGAAAUUAAACCCAAGAAGGACAAGUAUAAUAGCCGGCCACUGCUCUGCUCACACCAGCCUUGGGCUCCAGCCCUCUGCCUUUUCAUCCCAGAAUGUGUUUUAUUAUCUUCAAGACUCAGCCCUUUGAAAGAUUUAGACUUCCAAAUUGCAUUUAUUAACAAUAAUACAUUUAUUUUCUCAUGGCUGGGUGUGGGGAGGGGGUAGAAAUUUUAAACACAUUUGUGACGGUUGAUCAGCCCUCCAGGUAAGGCAACGGCUGACUGCCUGGAGCUGGUGUUUUUCCUGCCUAGGCGGAGACACCGCCCAAUUUUGUACCACCAGCUGCCGUCACUGUCAGAGUGGAAUUUCCAUUGGUGUUUCUGAAAUAGCAGUGUUUCCUGGAGGACCCCCAUUUGUACUUUCUGGAUUCCAUCUGGACCUGGUUUAGGGGGUUAGAUGCUUUUGAAUGGGGGCUGGAGAGACCCUACUGAUGCCUCUGACCAGAGAUGGUGAGGCAGGACUCACAGGGCCCCCAGGGUUUAUUUUAGGGAGAGAGAAGCCCACAGUUAAAUCAGAGGUCACAAAUACAGCAGCAGACCCCACCUCUCCCAAGGACCAGACUGAGCUAUAAUUGGCCAAUAAUUUCAUCUAAAAGCAGGAAUCCUACAUCAAUUUGAAAGGAGCUUCUGGCUGAAGUAAGACUUUAUUAAUUAGCCUGUUAGGAAAAUAGUUUCCCAGUAUUAUGAGGGCUGGAUAAUUUCAUGCCCACUGUUUUUCUUGAAGCUUCUCAAAGGCAGACACAGCCGCGUGCAGCGGCUCACGCCUACAAUCUCAGCACGUUGGGAGGUCGAGGCAGGUGGAUCACGAGGCCAGGAGAUCGAGACCAUCCUGGCCAACAUGGUGAAACCCCAUCUCUACAAAAAUACAAAAAUUAAUUGGGCGUGGUGGUGGGCGCCUGUAAUCCCAGCUACUCAGGAGGCUGAGGCAGGAGAAUCAGAGGUUGCAGUGAACCGAGAUUGUGCCACUACACUCCAGCCUGGCCACAGAGCGAGACUCAGAAAACAAGGGAAGACACUAGAUUUUCAUUUUUGUACUAAAUAGAAAAAGUAAUAUCUUUUUAAAAAUGUGUUUUGUUUGUUUUUAACUGUUUGUUCAUGCCAAUGUGCCAGGCACCAUAUUUAUUCUUUAAUCUAUACAGAAAUGCUGCUGGAUGAAUGGAAUUAUGCUCACUCUGCCAAUGAGGGAACCAAGGCUCAGAAAGGUUAAGUAACCAACCUAAGGUCAGGUAGUACUGAGGAGCUGUGCUUGGAUACAAAACCAGGUCAUCCAACCUGGAAUCUUAGCUUUGACCCCCAACCUUCUCCCGGCAACUUUGAUGAUAAUAUGGAAAUACCUUAGACUCUUGACUUGACUUUACUUUCUCUUCUCUGUUAUAAAAUCUGCUACAUUUCUUUUCCUGGGAAAGCGAAAUAGAUUAUGCCAAAAGUUCUGAUUUUUAAAAAUGUUUUAUUGUGGGCCGGGCGCAGUGGCUCAUGCCUGUAAUCCCAGGACUUUGGGAGGCCGAGGUGGGUGGAUCAUGAAGUCAGGAGAUCAAGACCAUCCUGGCCAACACAGUGAAACCCCAUGUCUACUAAAAAUACAAAAAUUAACUGGGCUUGGUGGUGCACGCCUGUAAUCCCAGCUACUCAGGAGGCUGAGGCAGGAGAAUCCCUUGAACCUGGGAGGCGGAGGUUGUAGUGAGCCGAGAUUGUGCCACUGCACUCCAGCCUGGCAACAGAGCAAGACUCCGUCUC